AUUGAACGCUGGCGGCAGGCCUAACACAUGCAAGUCGAACGGUAACAGGAAGAAGCUUGCUUCUUUGCUGACGAGUGGCGGACGGGUGAGUAAUGUCUGGGAAACUGCCUGAUGGAGGGGGAUAACUACUGGAAACGGUAGCUAAUACCGCAUAACGUCGCAAGACCAAAAAGGGGGAUCUUCGGGCCACUUGCCAUCGGAUGUGCCCAGAUGGGAUUAGCUAGUAGGUGGGGUAACGGCUCACCUAGGCGACGAUCCCUAGCUGGUCUGAGAGGAUGACCAGCCACACUGGAACUGAGACACGGUCCAGACUCCUACGGGAGGCAGCAGUGGGGAAUAUUGCACAAUGGGCGCAAGCCUGAUGCAGCCAUGCCGCGUGUAUGAAGAAGGCCUUCGGGUUGUAAAGUACUUUCAGCGGGGAGGAAGGGAGUAAAGUUAAUACCUUUGCUCAUUGACGUUACCCGCAGAAGAAGCACCGGCUAACUCCGUG
This 490-nucleotide ribosomal RNA is filed under the name uncultured bacterium. Its description in RNAcentral is "partial 16S ribosomal RNA". It matches the Rfam family "Bacterial small subunit ribosomal RNA", at positions 30 to 507 of the family's 1533-position model. The record is from RNAcentral.